UGUUCAUGAUGUGGACAAUCCCAAAUAAGUUCCUUAAAAUGUUCCCAUGCAUAAUAAAUAUUUCCACCUAUCUUAUUCUUAAAACUCACUAUCUCACUGUGAAGUC
Non-coding RNA from Capsicum annuum, 106 nucleotides. Lineage: Eukaryota; Viridiplantae; Streptophyta; Magnoliopsida; Solanales; Solanaceae. The record is from Rfam.